CGCUAAGAAUUUCUAGCUACCUUGCCAAUGGAAAUAUGUUGCUGGCAAUCGGUAAGCCUCCCCAGAUCUGCUCAAGGGGUCAUAACUGUAACAAUAUAAGCAAAUAGAUCAUCACCGUAUUUAUUUCUGCAUUUUUUUUCUCUUUCUUUCCUCUCCUCCUCUCUCAUUUUCCCCUCUUACUCCGCUCCCCUUCUCCCCCAUCCCUCCUCCUUGCUCACUCCUCCAUUAGUGUUUAGAAGAUUUCACAGUUUUCUCCCAACCCUGGAAAGAAUGUAAGUCGAUGCUGCUGAUUGCCUUUGAAAACAUUUGGAACAAAUUAUCUCUACUUUUGGAAUCUGAAUAAAGGAAUGUGAGCCUCACUGGAGAAAUAUGAAAUACAGGGUGGGAUUCACAGAAGAAAACUUGCCUCAGUUUCCCUGCCAGCAAGGUGCUGCCACACUGUGGUGCUGUGGAGUUUCCAUCAGCAAAACAAUGAAGAUCUCCAAGGGAAAGGUGUUAUGUUAAUUCAGGGAGCUCAGAUUUAUCCAUGCUAAAAAGCUGAUGUGGCUAUUUACAAUCUGGUAAGCAAAACUAAAAUAGAGAGCUCUGAAGAUCAAAUAAACCUUAAAAAAUGCAGAUG
Molecule: long non-coding RNA, 619 nt
Filed under: Chrysolophus pictus (golden pheasant)
Lineage: Eukaryota; Metazoa; Chordata; Aves; Galliformes; Phasianidae
Description: lncRNA (ENSCPIG00010001899.1)
Source: RNAcentral